UGAUCCUGCCGGACCCGACUGCGUAUCGGAGAGAGACUAAGCCAUGCGAGCCGAACGUCCUUCAACCACGCGGAGGGCGUGGCGGACGGCUCAGUAACACGUAGUCAACCUGCCCUGAGGACGCGGAUAACCCCGGGAAACUGGGACUAAGCCGCGGUAGGUGAGGAUUCCUGGGAUGGGUCCUCGCCGAAAAAGACCGGCGAGCAUGUUUCGCCGAUCUGCCUCAGGAUGGGACUGCGGCCGAUCAGGUUGUUGGUGGGGUAAUGGCCCACCAAGCCUAUAACCGGUGCGGGCUUUGAGAGAAGGAGCCCGGAGAUGGACACUGAGAUAAGGGUCCAGGUCCUACGGGACGCAGCAGGCGCGAAACCUUCGCAAUGCGUGCAAGCGCGACGAGGUUACUCCGAGUGCAGCCCGCUGAGGGCUGCUUUUCCUAGGUCUAACCCGCCUGGGGAAUAAGGGGAGGGAAAGCCUGGUGUCAGCCGCCGCGGUAAGACCAGCUCCUCGAGUGGCCGGGACGAUUAUUGGGCCUAAAGCAUCCGUAGCCGGCUCGGUAGGUCUCCCGUUAAAUUCAACGGCUCAACCGUUGACCUGCGGGAGAUACCGCCCGGGCUAGGAGGCGGGAGAGGCGGACGGUACUCCGGGGGUAGGGGUAAAAUCCUUUGAUCCUCGGAAGACCACCAGUGGCGAAGGCGGUCCGCCAGAACGCGCUCGACGGUGAGGGAUGAAAGCUGGGGGAGCGAACCGGAUUAGAUACCCGGGUAGUCCCAGCCGUAAACGAUGCGAGCUAGGUGAUGGGAUGGCUACGGGCCGUCCCAGUGCCGCAGGGAAGCCGUUAAGCUCGCCGCCUGGGGAGUACGGCCGCAAGGCUGAAACUUAAAGGAAUUGGCGGGGGAGCACCACAAGGGGUGAAGCCUGCGGUUCAAUUGGAGUCAACGCCGGGAACCUUACCGGGAGCGACAGCAGGGUGAAGGUCAGGCUGAAGACUUUACCAGACAAGCUGAGAGGAGGUGCAUGGCCGUCGCCAGCUCGUGCCGUGAGGCGUCCUGUUAAGUCAGGCAACGAGCGAGACCCCUGCCGCUAAUUGCUAUCCUCCUCCGAAAGGGUGGGGAGGCUAGUUAGCGGGACUGCCGCCGCUAAGGCGGAGGAAGGAAGGGGCCACGGCAGGUCAGUAUGCCCCGAAACUCCCGGGCCACACGCGGGCUGCAAUGGUAGGGACAAUGGGCUCCGCCCUCGAAAGAGGAAGGCAAUCCCCAAACCCUACCCCAGUUGUGACUGAGGGCUGCAACCCGCCCUCACGAAUCUGGAAUCCCUAGUAACCGCGCGUCACCAUCGCGCGGUGAAUACGUCCCUGCUCCUUGCACACAC
This 1365-nucleotide ribosomal RNA is filed under the name uncultured archaeon. Its description in RNAcentral is "16S ribosomal RNA". It matches the Rfam family "Archaeal small subunit ribosomal RNA". The record is from RNAcentral.